AUCUACCAUUUAGUGGGGAAUAACUGUUGGAAACGACAGCUAAUACCGCAUAAUAUUGCUGGAUAAUUUCCAGUAAUGAAAGGAGCUUUCAAGCUCCGCUGAUUGAUGAGGAUGCGGCGCAUUAGCUAGUUGGUAGGGUAAUGGCCUACCAAGGCAAUGAUGCGUAGCCGAUCUGAGAGGAUGAACGGCCACAUUGGGACUGAGACACGGCCCAAACUUCUACGGAAGGCAGCAGUAGGGAAUUUUUCACAAUGGGCGAAAGCCUGAUGGAGCAAUGCCGCGUGACUGAUGAAGGUCUUCGGAUUGUAAAGGUCUGUUGUAAGGGAAGAAAUGGUAAAACAGGAAAUGNUUUUAUCUAUGACGGUACCUUACCAGAAAGCCACGGCUAACUAUGUGCCANCAGCCGCGGUAAUACAUAGGUGGCAANGCGUUAUCCGGAUUUAUUGGGCGUAAAGGGUGCGUA
This 463-nucleotide ribosomal RNA is filed under the name uncultured Spiroplasma sp. Its description in RNAcentral is "bacterial SSU rRNA". It matches the Rfam family "Bacterial small subunit ribosomal RNA", at positions 124 to 573 of the family's 1533-position model. Lineage: Bacteria; Bacillati; Mycoplasmatota; Mollicutes; Entomoplasmatales; Spiroplasmataceae. The record is from RNAcentral.